AUCACUGGUGUUCGGGUUGUCAUGCCAAUGGCACUGCCCGGUAGCUAAAUGCGGAAGAGAUAAGUGCUGAAAGCAUCUAAGCACGAAACUUGCCCCGAGAUGAGUUCUCCCUGACCCUUUAAGGGUCCUGAAGGAACGUUGAAGACGACGACGUUGAUAGGCCGGGUGUGUAAGCGCAGCGAUGCGUUGAGCUAACCGGUACUAAUGAACCGUGAGGCUUAACCUUACAACGCCGAAGGUGUUU
This 244-nucleotide ribosomal RNA is filed under the name Escherichia coli. RNAcentral describes it as "partial 23S ribosomal RNA". It matches the Rfam family "Bacterial large subunit ribosomal RNA", at positions 2705 to 2925 of the family's 2925-position model. Lineage: Bacteria; Pseudomonadati; Pseudomonadota; Gammaproteobacteria; Enterobacterales; Enterobacteriaceae. The record is from RNAcentral.